This 293-nucleotide ribosomal RNA is filed under the name uncultured bacterium. RNAcentral describes it as "partial 16S ribosomal RNA". It matches the Rfam family "Bacterial small subunit ribosomal RNA", at positions 775 to 1067 of the family's 1533-position model. The record is from RNAcentral.
GGAUUAGAUACCCUGGUAGUCCACGCCGUAAACGGUGGGUACUAGGUGUGGGUUUCCUUCCUUGGGAUCCGUGCCGUAGCUAACGCAUUAAGUACCCCGCCUGGGGAGUACGGUCGCAAGACUAAAACUCAAAGGAAUUGACGGGGGCCCGCACAAGCGGCGGAGCAUGUGGAUUAAUUCGAUGCAACGCGAAGAACCUUACCUGGGUUUGACAUGCGCAGGACGUAUCUAGAGAUAGGUAUUCCCUUGUGGCCUGCGUGCAGGUGGUGCAUGGCUGUCGUCAGCUCGUGCCG